This 529-nucleotide ribosomal RNA is filed under the name uncultured bacterium. RNAcentral describes it as "bacterial SSU rRNA". It matches the Rfam family "Bacterial small subunit ribosomal RNA", at positions 12 to 525 of the family's 1533-position model. The record is from RNAcentral.
UUUGAUCCUGGCUCAGAUUGAACGCUGGCGGUAUGCUUAACACAUGCAAGUCGAACGGUAACAGGAGAUAUAGCUUGUUAGUCGUUAACGAGGUGCCGGACGGGUUGAGUAACGCGUAGGAAUCUGCCUAACAGUGGGGGACAACCUGGAGAAAUCCAGGCUAAUACCGCAUACGCCCUACGGGGGAAAGAAGGCCUCUUCUUGAAAGCUUUCACUGUUAGAUGAGCCUGCGUUAGAUUAGCUUGUUGGUAGGGUAAAGGCCUACCAAGGCAACGAUCUAUAGCUGGUCUGAGAGGAUGAUCAGCCACACUGGGACUGAGACACGGCCCAGACUCCUACGGGAGGCAGCAGUGGGGAAUAUUGGACAAUGGGCGCAAGCCUGAUCCAGCAAUACCGCGUGUGUGAAGAAGGCCUUAGGGUUGUAAAGCACUUUCAAUUGGGAAGAAAAGCAUACGGUUAAUACCCGUGUGUCUUGACGGUACCUUUACAAGAAGCACCGGCUAACUCCGUGCCAGCAGCCGCGGUAAUA